Oryzias latipes (Japanese medaka) is the source of this 2060-nucleotide RNA transcript. RefSeq lists it as uncharacterized. NCBI's taxonomy places the organism in Eukaryota, Metazoa, Chordata, Actinopteri, Beloniformes, Adrianichthyidae. The record is from RefSeq and is a predicted model, not a curated record.
CCCCGACGAUAUCAUCGUCUAUCCCGAUGGUUGACUGCAAACAUCGUCAACUGCCAAUCUAGGGGACAUCGCCCAACCCUAGUCCACACAUGCUUGUAUUUCUGCAACUUUUCCACUGUCUUCUUUUUCGUCUUUGUCCACUACUCUAGACAAAGUGUGUACAUGUACUUUCCUUUUGUGUACAUCAUGUGCACGUCAUAUUUUUGCAGCCUGAUUGACAUCCACUGUUUCCUUACAGGACAAUCACUCAGUGCUUUGGACAUGAUUGACACCAAUGGUUUAUGGUCGGUUUCCACUUCAAACGUUUGGCCAUAGACAUAUUGAUGGAACCGCUCACAUGCGGACAUGCUGGCUAACAGUUUCUACUAACUGAAACGCUGGCUGUUUUUGGUAAAUAAAUAAGAGCAAAUGUGACUUUGGGAACUUUUUAAAAUAAAAAUAGUGCUGAAAGAAGACCCGUUUUUUUUUUUUUAAAUGUCUUCUACAUCAUUUUUGCUUCCAAGAUUAAUUGUAAAAUGAUCCAAGAAACAGAAACAGUGAUGUUGGUUUAAUGCUCAAUUAACCAGAAAGUUGACAGAAAACCUUUACAGCACAACAUUCAUGAUUAUUCAAUAUUAUUUCUUUCAAAGUCAUGGUUUUUAUUCAUAUACUUAUGGUUGGUUUGUAUUUCUUGUUUAAAAAAAUUAUAAUUGAUUAUUUUAGAUGCAUUGUUUUAAUUUUCAUACAUCCAGUUUAAAGACAAACACCAGCAUAACACAUUCAACUGCUAAGAAAUGUGGUUUGAUCUGUGAAUCGUUGAUCUUGGUUCCUGAAUUGAAUCAGAUCUUUUCCUAAUUAUUGAUUACCAGCUACCAGAAACUAACUUGAUUCACCUCCAGUUAACACACAAACAUUGCCUAGAAAUGACUUCAAAUGAUGGGAGUAAUGUAUAGAUGUGGGGCUUUCUGCUCUCUCUUCAGGGAAGUGCAGGUGGACUGGCAUUCUGUGUCUAGCAACUUCAAUGGUUCUGGAUGCUGAGCAACAUUCACCUUUAAAUGACAGCUAUUAAGUCCUCCAAAGAGGAUGGAAGUCAUUUUUAUAACAAAUUGUUUUGCAGGAGCAUGUGUCAGUGGUUCAGGACAUGAAGCUGGAUCCUGCUCACAUGUUCCAACUUUAUCUGCAGCAAACUGAAAGUUUGAAGAAGCUGAACAUUCCCUCAUAUUUCCCUGACUUGAAAACUUGGGAUGUGUCUGCUGAGCUCCUCAUCAAACACACGGCUGAGUCUGAGCCGACUGAUCAGAAGAUUCAGACUGAGGAAACUUCCUUUGUAAAGUUGAUAAAUGUUACAUUUAUUCUUGGUUUUAAUUUUCUGAUAUAAAGCUAAGACUGAUUGAACACAGGAUAUAAAAAAUAGAUUUUUCCUGAAUAAAAAAAUCCAACUUUAAUUUCAUUCAUUUUUAUUGUUAAGACGCUUCUUAAAAGUAUCUAAAUGUACAUGGAGCAAGGUUCAAAGUAAUUUUUGGGCUUGUUAAAAAUACCCAAUGUAAUUCUAACCUUCUCUAACCAGAGUCAGAGGACAGAGUCUGGUGUGGAUGAACUGGACUGGCCUGCACAGAGUCCCGGUGUCAUGUGGUCCUGCUGCUUCCCUGCUCUUCAGUGGCCUGGAAAAAGAAGCAGCUGGACAUCAUGACGCUGGAGCAGCUGUGGUCUGAAGUCCUCUCUGAGCUGCCUUGCUCCUUCCUGUGAGGAAGGAUGUUGCUGCACUUAAGAAACACAAGCUGGUGGAACCCUCCAAGAACCUGCAGGAGAACAUCUGCUCCAGUCAUGAUGAGGUGAUGAGGAUGUUCUGUCGCAUCACAAUCUGUUCUCUCUGCUCUGUGGAAGAACAUAACAUAGUCUCAUCUGCAGCAGAAAGCCCUGAGAAGCAGAGACAGCUGGAGGACAAUCAACAACGAAUCCUGCAGAGACUCCAGGAGCCGCAGGUUGCCGACCCCCGCACUAAACCAUUAGGGGACAGCGCAUCAUGUGGACCAGGGACGGCCAUUUUCUCUUAACACAAUUUUUAGAGAACAUUCUAAAAA